UGCCCGUAUAAGAAGUGGACUGAUCCAGGAGAGUUUGUGUUGGAGUCAUAUGGACCGAGGCCCCUGUGUCUAAUAACCAAUCUGAGGCCUUAUUUUCAGAAAGGGUACACGAAGAAUUGAGGGCUUCUGCAAGUCGUGCCUCAGGGGUAUGACCAAGGUGUUCAUAUCGUUGCUGGUACCGAUCCACAUAGUGACCCUCAGUGCAACAAAUUUGGCAACGCAGGGGUCGUCUGUUGGAUAAAUGUCCCUGUCCUCGUCCAUGAUCGCUAGUCCGAUUGUGUUGGUUGAGAGAAGAAAAGUUUCACUGAUUAAACUUCGCAGGGUUGCAAUUGGUGGCUGUGAACGCCGUAGGGGAUGGUGUGGCCUGCUCUAGGGAUUUUUGAAAUAGCUCAAAGCUCUCUGCCUUUGGCACAAAAUCUGGAAAACAUGGCAAAGGGGUAGGGCCAUUUAGGCAGUUGAGAAGCUCGAGAAUUUCGAGCCGAGACGUUGAAGGAACUAGUGCACUUUGUCGGUAGCGUCAACGGGUCGUUCGAUUGCAUAGAGUUGAUUGCAGAGGGCCUAGAAAGCACGAGCAUGCUUCAAAACAGACUUGGUGCUUCGUUUCAUCAAUUACAAAUCAUUCUUAAGACGAAUUUCAAAGGCUUCAGAGUGGUGGAUGAAGGUGUUUUCUAAGGCAACCUACACUUCACUUAAAGAGGAGAGUCCCGCUACUUCCGCCAUGGGCUCCUUGGUGAGGGAGGACAAUAGAAAGUUGAGGAGGCGUUGAUCGGUUUGUUUCCAUGCCAUAUGUUUGAUAUUUGACGUUUGAGAUUUUGAAGGGCAAAACGGGGUAGGGUUCCUAUAGUUCCAUCCACAUAGCUGAUGAGUUCUUGGCUUUCCAAAAGGGGAAGCAACUGGCUCUUCUGCAGGAGAUAGUUGGAAGAGGAUAGUUUGAUUAUAACCAUGUGGAUGAGUGUUUUGAAAGGAAGAAGAUUGGAGGAUGGUUCGGUAGCCAUUGGAAAAGAGGCAGGAUCGUGUGAGGGAGCUUAAUCCGUAGAGUGCUGUGAUACCAUGAGAUGUUUGGAAGACCACCACGCUUUCUAGUGGUGAGUUGAUUUCAUAUUUAUAUCCAUAUUUACAUAAUCAUAUAUGGUAUGAUUAAAAUAAAAUGAAAAUAAUACAAUUGAAUGGAAAGAAUUAAGCAAACAAGGUGGAAGCUACAAUUAUGGGUCAAAUGAGAAUGCAAAUGGAAAGUCUUGAAUUAAGGUUGAGGAUCCUCGACAAAUGUUUUGCGUAGCAUGAGAGGUGAGCAAAAAAAUUUGUGUUUACUUCAUGUAUGGAUGUUUAUGGUGGAACAUCCGGUAACGAGUAACGUGACUAAUGGUAAAAUAUCAAUAAUCAGGAUGAAGCUUGUUGAUGCUUGAAAUUUGCUUCUUCCAAACGUUUUUUUUUUUCUUCAAACAAAUCAACAAGCAUAAGGAGAAGUGUCGAUUUCAACUUCUACCUGCAUAGGUCUUUCUAUUUUCAAAUCAAAAAACCCCCAACCAUCAAGUGACGUAAAUAUAAAGGGACUCUUAUUAUUAUUAUUAUUAUAGUAAGUUAAUUCACAAACCUACCCUAUAUUUCCUAUUUGUUACCAAUAUGGUAUUAAUUUGUAAUAUUUAAAAAGUUGUGAACCGCAGAGAAAUUAAAACUUUCCUUAUUUCUACCAUCAUCUUUUUUUUUUCUUUUUUCUUUUUUUCCUUCAUUUAUAUCCUUCAAGUCCCUCUGGAAUCUAUAGGCACUCCCAAUAAUUUCUCGCUCAUCAUACUCACUUUGAAUUCGAGUUAACUCGUUCAUAUCGGUCUUUGCAAACUGAUUUUAUUCCUGGUACUGCUUCCCCAACAUGUUUACAUAAUUAUCUUGGUCUUCUGGUUUGUUUAAUAUUCUUGUUUCUUCAAUUUUUUGAAUUUGAAUUAACUGGGCUUUUUCAAUUUGAUCGGAUAGUGGUGGUUACAUAAUUGAAUUGUGCUAGAUUUUUUUCUUGAUCAAAGUAUUUGACGAUUUUUUAUUCUGGGGUUCUGUGAGCUGUCAGUAAAUUUGUUAAGAAAAUGCUGUUGUUCCUAGAGUUUAACGUUAUUCCUUCGAAAUCAAUCCGACAGAAUCACCCGAAUGUAAAGAAUUGAUCAACAGGAUCCAAAAAGUAAUUCGAGCCCACCGACUUGACGAUAUUUCCUUAAAACGAAUUUGCUGCCUUCAAUGGUGCUAAAAGCGUCUAGCAAUCUUUUUCAGGAUAGAACUAAUUUUCGUCUCCUACGGAAGCAGCACUGCAAUCUGCAGGAGUUCCAACGAACUCAACGAAGUGUGUUUUACUUCGAGACAAUAUCAGAACGAGAGAGAGGGGAAUGAGAUUCAAAGCACAGAAAGUUGGCAAUAAAAAUGGUGUAAAUUUUCUGGUAGAGAGGUUGACUAUUUAUAGACUUGUUUAUGACCAUUCGAACAGUCAUCACCUUUUAGACAAACCUCAAAAUUCGAACAGACAUACUGUUUUUAAAAGUCGCGUCUGUUAAGUCGGUUAACAGUCGACUGUUUGGUUGGUAAAUAGACGACUGUUAAAAGAAAAAAAACACCCGGAAUAAGCCAAAAUUUAAAUUUCAUAAUGUAUCCAAGAAUUUGAUUAUUUACAAUUUGGUCCAAAAUUUUAAAUAAAUUUUGUCCAAAAAGUUAAUAUAGUGCAAAGGUUCAUCCGCACUCGCACCGAACUGGACCGGACUCGGACACGGGCACGUGCUUGUGCCGUGCCGAGCCGAGCCGGUCGGAAGGACGGCGGCGACGGCGCUCGCGUGUGGGUUUAUGACCGAACCCAAUAGGAUAUAGGUCUUCCCCCUUCCAAAAACUAUUGGUACCCCUUGGGGCCCAAACCCAAUUCCAAAUUUUCACCUUAUAAACUACACCAAAGUUUCCUAACUUUCCUAUAUGGGAUAAGUGUUUAGAAAAUCAAAUUCUUCCAUAAUACUUAGUUUAUGUAGGUUACUUUAACACUUAAUAUUUCAUUCAAUUUUAAAUGGUUUUCGAUAAAUAAAUAUAUCAUGUUAAUUAUCUCGCGGAGUAGAACGUGAAUAUGUUAGGUCCCGUAUUAAUUAAAAGGUGGGUCCCACUGAAAUUUGGGCUCAAAUUUGACCCAUUUCAUAACUAUUUUUUUUCCAACGACCCCUCACAUAAAUGAAAUAUGUUGGCCUUAUUCCAAACGAUAACAUCUGAUAUGUUUUUCAAAGAAAAAAUUGAAUAAGACUAUAUUGGGAUAAGUAGUCAAUGACUUUGAACUUUCCCUAGUAAAAUCUAUCGGAUUUCCUUAGCCAAUCAAUAGCAAGUUGCUUUAAACAGUCAGCCGUUUAUGGAAACCUAAACAAUAGAAGUCACACAGUUUUCUUCGAACACAGUUGGUUCUCACGUUUGUGUCCAUUUUGACCUUGGACACCUCCUGGUUUAUGAGUGGUUUUUAGAGAAUUCAUCUUCACCUAAUUCUCUUAGAAGCGGCCCCUUCUCACUCACUUGGGUGAUUUCCAUAAGAGUAUUCUGCUAUACUCCACUUGAACGAAUCAAGAUAUAGAAAUCAUUAAAAGCGUAUCUUAACCUAUUUCGCGGCAGCUGGGCACUGGCUCAUCAUAGGAAUGGGUAGAAGUAAAAUCUUCCUAGUGCAUACUAAGUUUUUCACUGUUUGGUUGUCCCAUUGAACCUAUAUCUUGGGAUCUCCAGUCAACUAGGUUGAGUUGCCACCAUGGAAACUUUUGAUUAUUUUAUUAGUUUUAAUUCCAUCCCCUUCGAUGAACUUUCGACUUGCUCUCUUGUUAAACUUUUAGUUAGCGGAUCCGCAAUAUUCACUUUUGAUUUCACACUCUAUAGAGAUAAUGUCUGUAGAGAGCAAUUGUCUAACGGUAUUGUGUCUACGACGUAUAUGUCGAGAUUUACCGUUGUACAUUGCAUUUUGUGCCCUACCAAUUGUUGAUUGAUUGUCGUAAUGGAUACAUAUAGCAGGCACAGGUUUUGUCCAACAUGGAAUAUCUUCUAGAAAGUUUCGUAGCCACUCGGCUUCUUCUCCGGCUUUGUCUAAUGCAAUGAAUUCAAAUUUCAUUGUUGAUCUAGCUAUACAUGUCUGUUUUGAAGAUUUCAAUGAUAUUGCAGCACCUCCAAGUGUAAAGACAUAUCCACUUGUUGAUUUGGAGUCUUUAGUAUCUGAUAUCCAAUUUGCAUCACAGUAUCCUUCAAGUACUGCUGGAUAUCUCGAAUAGUGCAAUCAAAAAUUUUGGGUAUGUUUUAAAUACCCCAAAACUCUAACAAUAGCCUUCCAAUGAUCAGUGCUUGGAUUACUUUGUAUAUCGACUUAGCCUACUAAUUGAAUAGGCAAUAUCAGGUCGAGUGCAAUUCAUGACAUACAUUAAACUGUCAACAAUACAAGAAUAUUCCAAUUGAGACUUACUAUCACCAGUAUUGGAAACAAGAUGCAUACUAACAUUCAUAGGUGUUUUCAUAGGAAUAAUAUUAUAUUUCUUAAAUUUAUCAAGAAUCUUCUCAAUGUAGUGUGAUUGAGACAAUAUGAGACCAUCAGAUGUUCUAGAAAUUUUAAUUCCUAAUAUAACAUCGGCCACCCCUAAAUCCUUCAUUUCAAAUUUACUUGUUAGCAUCCUUUUUGUAGUUUGAAUUAUAGUAUCAUUAUUACACAUAAUCAACAUGUCAUCUAUAUAUAAACAUACCAUGACAUAUCCAUUUGGAGUGUUCCUGACAUAAACACAUUUAUCACACUCGUUAAUUUUGAAACCAUUUGACAUCAUAACCAUGUCAAAUUUUUCAUGCCAUUUCUUAGGAGCUUGCUUUAAUUCAUAUAGCGAUUUAACAAGUCGACACACUUUCUUUUCCUGCCCUGAGGCUACAAAUCCUUCAGGUUGCUCCAUAUAAAUUUCUUCAUCUAAUUUCACAUUCAAAAAUGCCGUUUUAACAUCCAUUUGAUGUAUAUCCAAACCAUUCAAUGCUGCUAUUGCAAUAAGCAUACGUAUGGAUUUUAUUCUUGUCACAGGAGAAUAAGUAUCGAAAUAAUCAAGACCUUCUUUUUGCUUGUAGCCUUUAGCGAUAAGUCUUGCUUUAUAUUUGUCAAUUGAUCCAUCUGCUUUCAUUUUCCUUUUGAAAAUUCAUUUACAUCCCAAAGGAUUAUUCCUAGAGUUUAACGUUAUUCUUUCGAAACCAAUCCGACAGAAUCAUCUGAAUGUAAAGAAUUGAUCAACAGGAUCCAAAAAGUAAUUCGAGCCCACCGACUUCACGAUGUUUCCUUAAAACGAAUUUGCCGCCUUCAAUAGUGCUAAAGGCGUCUAGCAAUCGUUUUCCAGGAUAGAACGAAUUUUCGUCUGCUACAGAAGCAGCACUGCAAUCUGUAGAAGUUCCAACGAACUCAACGAAGUAUGUUUUACUUCGAGACAAUAUCAGAACGAGAGAGAGGGGAAUGAGAUUCAAAGCACAGAAAGUUGGCAAUGAAAAUGGUGUAAAUUUUCUGGUAGAGAGGCUAGCUAUUUAUAGACUUGUCCGUGGCCAUUCGAACAGUCAUCACCUUUCAGACAAACCUCAAAAUUCGAACAGACAUGUUUUUAAAAGUCGCGUCUUUAAUAGUCGGCUAACAGUCGACUGUUUGGUCGGUAAACAGACGACUGUUAAAAGAAAAUAAAACACCCGGAAUAAGCCAAAAUUUAAAUUUUAUAAUGUACCCAAUAAUUUGAUUAUUUACAAUUUGGCCCAAAAUUUUAAAUAAAUUUUGUCCAAAAAGUUAAUAUAGUGCAAAGGUCCACCGGUACCCGCACCGGCACCGAACCGGACCAGACUCGAACACGGGCACGUGCUCGUGUCGUGCUGAGCAGAGUGGAGCCAGCCGGCCGGUCGGACGAAUGGUGGCGACGGCGCGCGCGUGUGGUUUAUGACCGAACCCAAUAGGAUAUAGGUCUUCCCCCUUCCAAAGACUAUUGGUACCCCUUGGGGCCCAAACCUUAUUCCAAACUUUCACCUUAUAAGCCAUACCAAAGUUUCCUAACUUUCCUAUGUGGGAUAAGUGUUUGGAAAAUCAAAUUCUUCCAUAAUACUUAGUUUAUGUGGGUUACUUUAACACUUAAUAUUUCAUUCAAUUUUAAAUGAUUUUCGAUAAAAAAAAAUAUAUCACGUUCAUCAUCUCGCGGAGUAGAACGUGAAUAUGCUUGGUCCCGUAUUAAUUAAAAGGUGGGUCGCACUGAAAUUUGGGCUCAAAGUUGACCCAUUUCAUAACCAUUUUUUCCAACAAUCCUCCGCAUGAAUGAAAUAUGUUGGCCUUAUUCCAAACGAUAACAUCUGAUAUGUUUUUCAAAGAAGAAAUUGAAUAAGACUGCAUUGGGAUAAGUAGUCAAUGACUUUGAACUUUCCCUAGUAAAAUCUAUCAGAUUUCCUUAGCCAAUCAGUAGUAAGUUGCUUUGAACAGUCAGCCGUUUAUGGAAACCUAAACAAUAGAAGUCACACAGUUUUCUUCGAACACAGUUGGUUCUCACGUUUGUGUCCAUUUUGGCCUUGGACACCUCCUGGUUCAUGAGUGAUUUUUAGAGAAUUCAUGUUUACCUAAUUCUCUUAGAAGCGGCCCCUUCUCACUCACAUAGGUGAUUUCCAUAAAGAGUAUUCUGCUAUACUCCACUUGAACAAAUCAAGAUAUAGAAAUCAUUAAAAGCGUAUCUUAACCUAUUUCGCGGCAGCUGGGCACUGGCUCAUCAUAGGAAUGGGUAGAAGUAAAAUCUUCCCAGUGCAUACUAAGUUUUUCACAGUUCGGUUGUCCCAUUGAACCUAGAUCUUGGGAUCUCCAGUCAACUAGGUUGGGUUGCCACCAUGAAAACUUUUGAUUAUUUUAUUAGUUUUAAUCCCAUCCCCUUCGAUGAACUUUCGACUUGCUCUCUUGUUAAACUUUUAGUUAGCGGAUCCGCAAUAUUCUCUUUUGAUUUCACAUACUCUAUAGAGAUAAUGCCUGUAGAGAGCAAUUGUCUAACAGUAUUGUGUCUACGACGUAUAUGUCGAGAUUUACCGUUGUACAUUGUAUUUUGUGCCCUUCCAAUUGCUGAUUGACUAUCGCAAUGGAUGCAUAUAGCAGGCACUGGUUUUAUCCAACAUGGAAUAUCUUCUAGAAAGUUUCGUAGCCAUUCGGCUUCUUCUCCAGCUUUGUCUAAUGCAAUGAAUUCAGAUUCCAUUGUUGAUCUAGCUAUACAUGUCUGUUUUGAAGAUUUCCAUGAUAUUGCAGCACCUCCAAGUGUAAAGACAUAUCCACUUGUUGAUUUGGAGUCUUUAGUAUCUGAUAUCCAAUUUGCAUCACAGUAUCCUUCAAGUACUGCUGGAUAUCUCGAAUAGUGCAAUCAAAAAUUUUGGGUAUGUUUUAAAUACCCCAAAACUCUAACAAUAGCCUUCCAAUGAUCAGUGCUUGGAUUACUUUGUAUAUCGACUUAGCCUACUAAUUGAAUAGGCAAUAUCAGGUCGAGUGCAAUUCAUGACAUACAUUAAACUGUCAACAAUACAAGAGUAUUCCAAUUGAGACUUACUAUCACCAGUAUUGGAAACAAGAUGCAUACUAACAUUCAUAGGUGUUUUCAUAGGAAUAAUAUUAUAUUUCUUAAAUUUAUCAAGAAUCUUCUCAAUGUAGUGUGAUUGAGACAAUAUGAGACCAUCAGAUGUUCUAGAAAUUUUAAUUCCUAAUAUAACAUCGGCCACCCCUAAAUCCUUCAUUUCAAAUUUACUUGUUAGCAUCCUUUUUGUAGUUUGAAUUAUAGUAUCAUUAUUACACAUAAUCAACAUGUCAUCUAUAUAUAAACAUACCAUGACAUAUCCAUUUGGAGUGUUCCUGACAUAAACACAUUUAUCACACUCGUUAAUUUUGAAACCAUUUGACAUCAUAACCAUGUCAAAUUUUUCAUGCCAUUUCUUAGGAGCUUGCUUUAAUUCAUAUAGCGAUUUAACAAGUCGACACACUUUCUUUUCCUGCCCUGAGGCUACAAAUCCUUCAGGUUGCUCCAUAUAAAUUUCUUCAUCUAAUUUCACAUUCAAAAAUGCCGUUUUAACAUCCAUUUGAUGUAUAUCCAAACCAUUCAAUGCUGCUAUUGCAAUAAGCAUACGUAUGGAUUUUAUUCUUGUCACAGGAGAAUAAGUAUCGAAAUAAUCAAGACCUUCUUUUUGCUUGUAGCCUUUAGCGAUAAGUCUUGCUUUAUAUUUGUCAAUUGAUCCAUCUGCUUUCAUUUUCCUUUUGAAAAUUCAUUUACAUCCCAAAGGAUUAUUCCUAGAGUUUAACGUUAUUCUUUCGAAACCAAUCCGACAGAAUCAUCUGAAUGUAAAGAAUUGAUCAACAGGAUCCAAAAAGUAAUUCGAGCCCACCGACUUCACGAUGUUUCCUUAAAACGAAUUUGCCGCCUUCAAUAGUGCUAAAGGCGUCUAGCAAUCGUUUUCCAGGAUAGAACGAAUUUUCGUCUGCUACAGAAGCAGCACUGCAAUCUGUAGAAGUUCCAACGAACUCAACGAAGUAUGUUUUACUUCGAGACAAUAUCAGAACGAGAGAGAGGGGAAUGAGAUUCAAAGCACAGAAAGUUGGCAAUGAAAAUGGUGUAAAUUUUCUGGUAGAGAGGCUAGCUAUUUAUAGACUUGUCCGUGGCCAUUCGAACAGUCAUCACCUUUCAGACAAACCUCAAAAUUCGAACAGACAUGUUUUUAAAAGUCGCGUCUUUAAUAGUCGGCUAACAGUCGACUGUUUGGUCGGUAAACAGACGACUGUUAAAAGAAAAUAAAACACCCGGAAUAAGCCAAAAUUUAAAUUUUAUAAUGUACCCAAUAAUUUGAUUAUUUACAAUUUGGCCCAAAAUUUUAAAUAAAUUUUGUCCAAAAAGUUAAUAUAGUGCAAAGGUCCACCGGUACCCGCACCGGCACCGAACCGGACCAGACUCGAACACGGGCACGUGCUCGUGUCGUGCUGAGCAGAGUGGAGCCAGCCGGCCGGUCGGACGAAUGGUGGCGACGGCGCGCGCGUGUGGUUUAUGACCGAACCCAAUAGGAUAUAGGUCUUCCCCCUUCCAAAGACUAUUGGUACCCCUUGGGGCCCAAACCUUAUUCCAAACUUUCACCUUAUAAGCCAUACCAAAGUUUCCUAACUUUCCUAUGUGGGAUAAGUGUUUGGAAAAUCAAAUUCUUCCAUAAUACUUAGUUUAUGUGGGUUACUUUAACACUUAAUAUUUCAUUCAAUUUUAAAUGAUUUUCGAUAAAAAAAAAUAUAUCACGUUCAUCAUCUCGCGGAGUAGAACGUGAAUAUGCUUGGUCCCGUAUUAAUUAAAAGGUGGGUCGCACUGAAAUUUGGGCUCAAAGUUGACCCAUUUCAUAACCAUUUUUUCCAACAAUCCUCCGCAUGAAUGAAAUAUGUUGGCCUUAUUCCAAACGAUAACAUCUGAUAUGUUUUUCAAAGAAGAAAUUGAAUAAGACUGCAUUGGGAUAAGUAGUCAAUGACUUUGAACUUUCCCUAGUAAAAUCUAUCAGAUUUCCUUAGCCAAUCAGUAGUAAGUUGCUUUGAACAGUCAGCCGUUUAUGGAAACCUAAACAAUAGAAGUCACACAGUUUUCUUCGAACACAGUUGGUUCUCAUGUUUGUGUCCAUUUUGGCCUUGGACACCUCCUGGUUCAUGAGUGAUUUUUAGAGAAUUCAUCUUCACCUAAUUCUCUUAGAAGCGGCCUCUUCUCACUCACAUAGGUGAUUUCCAUAAAGAAUAUUCUGUUAUACUCCACUUGAACGAAUCAAAAUAUAGAAAUCAUUAAAAGCGUAUCUUAACCUAUUUUGCGGCAGUUGGGCACUGGCUCAUUAUAGGAAUGGGUAGAAGUAAAAUCUUUCCAGUGCAUACUAAGUUUUUUACAGUUCGGUUGUCCCAUUGAACAUAGAUAUUGGGAUCUCCAGUCAACUAGGUUGGGUUGCCACCAUGGAAACUUUUGAUUAUUUUAUUCGUUUUAAUCCCAUCCCUUUCGAUGAACUUUCGACUUGCUCUCUUGUUAAACUUUUAGUUAACGGAUCCGCAAUAUUCUCUUUUGAUUUCACAUACUCUAUAGAGAUAAUGUCUGUAGAGAGCAAUUGUCUAACAGUAUUGUGUCUACAACGUAUAUGUCGAGAUUUACUGUUGUACAUUUACCAAUUGCUGAUUGACUAUCGCAAUGGAUACAUAUAGCAGGCACAGGUUUUGUCCAACAUGGAAUAUCUUCUAGAAAGUUUCGUAGCCAUUCGGCUUCUUCUCCGGCUUUGUCUAAUGCAAUGAAUUCAAAUUCCAUUGUUGAUCUAGCUAUACAUGUCUGUUUUGAAGAUUUCAAUGAUAUUGCAGCACCUCCAAGUGUAAAGACAUAUCCACUUGUUGAUUUGGAGUCUUUAGUAUCUGAUAUCCAAUUUGCAUCACAGUAUCCUUCAAGUACUGCUGGAUAUCUCGAAUAGUGCAAUCAAAAAUUUUGGGUAUGUUUUAAAUACCCCAAAACUCUAACAAUAGCCUUCCAAUGAUCAGUGCUUGGAUUACUUUGUAUAUCGACUUAGCCUACUAAUUGAAUAGGCAAUAUCAGGUCGAGUGCAAUUCAUGACAUACAUUAAACUGUCAACAAUACAAGAGUAUUCCAAUUGAGACUUACUAUCACCAGUAUUGGAAACAAGAUGCAUACUAACAUUCAUAGGUGUUUUCAUAGGAAUAAUAUUAUAUUUCUUAAAUUUAUCAAGAAUCUUCUCAAUGUAGUGUGAUUGAGACAAUAUGAGACCAUCAGAUGUUCUAGAAAUUUUAAUUCCUAAUAUAACAUCGGCCACCCCUAAAUCCUUCAUUUCAAAUUUACUUGUUAGCAUCCUUUUUGUAGUUUGAAUUAUAGUAUCAUUAUUACACAUAAUCAACAUGUCAUCUAUAUAUAAACAUACCAUGACAUAUCCAUUUGGAGUGUUCCUGACAUAAACACAUUUAUCACACUCGUUAAUUUUGAAACCAUUUGACAUCAUAACCAUGUCAAAUUUUUCAUGCCAUUUCUUAGGAGCUUGCUUUAAUUCAUAUAGCGAUUUAACAAGUCGACACACUUUCUUUUCCUGCCCUGAGGCUACAAAUCCUUCAGGUUGCUCCAUAUAAAUUUCUUCAUCUAAUUUCACAUUCAAAAAUGCCGUUUUAACAUCCAUUUGAUGUAUAUCCAAACCAUUCAAUGCUGCUAUUGCAAUAAGCAUACGUAUGGAUUUUAUUCUUGUCACAGGAGAAUAAGUAUCGAAAUAAUCAAGACCUUCUUUUUGCUUGUAGCCUUUAGCGAUAAGUCUUGCUUUAUAUUUGUCAAUUGAUCCAUCUGCUUUCAUUUUCCUUUUGAAAAUUCAUUUACAUCCCAAAGGAUUAUUCCUAGAGUUUAACGUUAUUCUUUCGAAACCAAUCCGACAGAAUCAUCUGAAUGUAAAGAAUUGAUCAACAGGAUCCAAAAAGUAAUUCGAGCCCACCGACUUCACGAUGUUUCCUUAAAACGAAUUUGCCGCCUUCAAUAGUGCUAAAGGCGUCUAGCAAUCGUUUUCCAGGAUAGAACGAAUUUUCGUCUGCUACAGAAGCAGCACUGCAAUCUGUAGAAGUUCCAACGAACUCAACGAAGUAUGUUUUACUUCGAGACAAUAUCAGAACGAGAGAGAGGGGAAUGAGAUUCAAAGCACAGAAAGUUGGCAAUGAAAAUGGUGUAAAUUUUCUGGUAGAGAGGCUAGCUAUUUAUAGACUUGUCCGUGGCCAUUCGAACAGUCAUCACCUUUCAGACAAACCUCAAAAUUCGAACAGACAUGUUUUUAAAAGUCGCGUCUUUAAUAGUCGGCUAACAGUCGACUGUUUGGUCGGUAAACAGACGACUGUUAAAAGAAAAUAAAACACCCGGAAUAAGCCAAAAUUUAAAUUUUAUAAUGUACCCAAUAAUUUGAUUAUUUACAAUUUGGCCCAAAAUUUUAAAUAAAUUUUGUCCAAAAAGUUAAUAUAGUGCAAAGGUCCACCGGUACCCGCACCGGCACCGAACCGGACCAGACUCGAACACGGGCACGUGCUCGUGUCGUGCUGAGCAGAGUGGAGCCAGCCGGCCGGUCGGACGAAUGGUGGCGACGGCGCGCGCGUGUGGUUUAUGACCGAACCCAAUAGGAUAUAGGUCUUCCCCCUUCCAAAGACUAUUGGUACCCCUUGGGGCCCAAACCUUAUUCCAAACUUUCACCUUAUAAGCCAUACCAAAGUUUCCUAACUUUCCUAUGUGGGAUAAGUGUUUGGAAAAUCAAAUUCUUCCAUAAUACUUAGUUUAUGUGGGUUACUUUAACACUUAAUAUUUCAUUCAAUUUUAAAUGAUUUUCGAUAAAAAAAAAUAUAUCACGUUCAUCAUCUCGCGGAGUAGAACGUGAAUAUGCUUGGUCCCGUAUUAAUUAAAAGGUGGGUCGCACUGAAAUUUGGGCUCAAAGUUGACCCAUUUCAUAACCAUUUUUUCCAACAAUCCUCCGCAUGAAUGAAAUAUGUUGGCCUUAUUCCAAACGAUAACAUCUGAUAUGUUUUUCAAAGAAGAAAUUGAAUAAGACUGCAUUGGGAUAAGUAGUCAAUGACUUUGAACUUUCCCUAGUAAAAUCUAUCAGAUUUCCUUAGCCAAUCAGUAGUAAGUUGCUUUGAACAGUCAGCCGUUUAUGGAAACCUAAACAAUAGAAGUCACACAGUUUUCUUCGAACACAGUUGGUUCUCAUGUUUGUGUCCAUUUUGGCCUUGGACACCUCCUGGUUCAUGAGUGAUUUUUAGAGAAUUCAUCUUCACCUAAUUCUCUUAGAAGCGGCCUCUUCUCACUCACAUAGGUGAUUUCCAUAAAGAAUAUUCUGUUAUACUCCACUUGAACGAAUCAAAAUAUAGAAAUCAUUAAAAGCGUAUCUUAACCUAUUUUGCGGCAGUUGGGCACUGGCUCAUUAUAGGAAUGGGUAGAAGUAAAAUCUUUCCAGUGCAUACUAAGUUUUUUACAGUUCGGUUGUCCCAUUGAACAUAGAUAUUGGGAUCUCCAGUCAACUAGGUUGGGUUGCCACCAUGGAAACUUUUGAUUAUUUUAUUCGUUUUAAUCCCAUCCCUUUCGAUGAACUUUCGACUUGCUCUCUUGUUAAACUUUUAGUUAGCGGAUCCGCAAUAUUCUCUUUUGAUUUCACAUACUCUAUAGAGAUAAUGCCUGUAGAGAGCAAUUGUCUAACAGUAUUGUGUCUACGACGUAUAUGUCGAGAUUUACCGUUGUACAUUGCAUUUUGUGCCCUUCCAAUUGUUGACUGACUAUCGCAAUGGAUGCAUAUAGCAGGCACUGGUUUUAUCCAACAUGGAAUAUCUUCUAGAAAGUUUCGUAGCCAUUCGGCUUCUUCUCCAGCUUUGUCUAAUGCAAUGAAUUCAGAUUCCAUUGUUGAUCUAGCUAUACAUGUCUGUUUUGAAGAUUUCCAUGAUAUUGCAGCACCUCCAAGUGUAAAGACAUAUCCACUUGUUGAUUUGGAGUCUUUAGUAUCUGAUAUCCAAUUUGCAUCACAGUAUCCUUCAAGUACUGCUGGAUAUCUCGAAUAGUGCAAUCAAAAAUUUUGGGUAUGUUUUAAAUACCCCAAAACUCUAACAAUAGCCUUCCAAUGAUCAGUGCUUGGAUUACUUUGUAUAUCGACUUAGCCUACUAAUUGAAUAGGCAAUAUCAGGUCGAGUGCAAUUCAUGACAUACAUUAAACUGUCAACAAUACAAGAGUAUUCCAAUUGAGACUUACUAUCACCAGUAUUGGAAACAAGAUGCAUACUAACAUUCAUAGGUGUUUUCAUAGGAAUAAUAUUAUAUUUCUUAAAUUUAUCAAGAAUCUUCUCAAUGUAGUGUGAUUGAGACAAUAUGAGACCAUCAGAUGUUCUAGAAAUUUUAAUUCCUAAUAUAACAUCGGCCACCCCUAAAUCCUUCAUUUCAAAUUUACUUGUUAGCAUCCUUUUUGUAGUUUGAAUUAUAGUAUCAUUAUUACACAUAAUCAACAUGUCAUCUAUAUAUAAACAUACCAUGACAUAUCCAUUUGGAGUGUUCCUGACAUAAACACAUUUAUCACACUCGUUAAUUUUGAAACCAUUUGACAUCAUAACCAUGUCAAAUUUUUCAUGCCAUUUCUUAGGAGCUUGCUUUAAUUCAUAUAGCGAUUUAACAAGUCGACACACUUUCUUUUCCUGCCCUGAGGCUACAAAUCCUUCAGGUUGCUCCAUAUAAAUUUCUUCAUCUAAUUUCACAUUCAAAAAUGCCGUUUUAACAUCCAUUUGAUGUAUAUCCAAACCAUUCAAUGCUGCUAUUGCAAUAAGCAUACGUAUGGAUUUUAUUCUUGUCACAGGAGAAUAAGUAUCGAAAUAAUCAAGACCUUCUUUUUGCUUGUAGCCUUUAGCGAUAAGUCUUGCUUUAUAUUUGUCAAUUGAUCCAUCUGCUUUCAUUUUCCUUUUGAAAAUUCAUUUACAUCCCAAAGGAUUAUUCCUAGAGUUUAACGUUAUUCUUUCGAAACCAAUCCGACAGAAUCAUCUGAAUGUAAAGAAUUGAUCAACAGGAUCCAAAAAGUAAUUCGAGCCCACCGACUUCACGAUGUUUCCUUAAAACGAAUUUGCCGCCUUCAAUAGUGCUAAAGGCGUCUAGCAAUCGUUUUCCAGGAUAGAACGAAUUUUCGUCUGCUACAGAAGCAGCACUGCAAUCUGUAGAAGUUCCAACGAACUCAACGAAGUAUGUUUUACUUCGAGACAAUAUCAGAACGAGAGAGAGGGGAAUGAGAUUCAAAGCACAGAAAGUUGGCAAUGAAAAUGGUGUAAAUUUUCUGGUAGAGAGGCUAGCUAUUUAUAGACUUGUCCGUGGCCAUUCGAACAGUCAUCACCUUUCAGACAAACCUCAAAAUUCGAACAGACAUGUUUUUAAAAGUCGCGUCUUUAAUAGUCGGCUAACAGUCGACUGUUUGGUCGGUAAACAGACGACUGUUAAAAGAAAAUAAAACACCCGGAAUAAGCCAAAAUUUAAAUUUUAUAAUGUACCCAAUAAUUUGAUUAUUUACAAUUUGGCCCAAAAUUUUAAAUAAAUUUUGUCCAAAAAGUUAAUAUAGUGCAAAGGUCCACCGGUACCCGCACCGGCACCGAACCGGACCAGACUCGAACACGGGCACGUGCUCGUGUCGUGCUGAGCAGAGUGGAGCCAGCCGGCCGGUCGGACGAAUGGUGGCGACGGCGCGCGCGUGUGGUUUAUGACCGAACCCAAUAGAAUAUAUGUCUUCCCCCUUCCAAAAACUAUUGGUACUCCUUGGGGCCCAAACCUUAUUCCAAACUUCCACCUUUUAAACCACACCAAAGUUUCCUAACUUUCCUAUGUGGGAUAAGUGUUUGGAAAAUCAAAUUCUUCCAUAAUACUUAGUUUAUGUGGGUUACUUUAACACUUAAUAUUUCAUUCAAUUUUAAAUGAUUUUCGAUAAAUAAAUAUAUCACGUUAAUCAUCUCGCGGAGUAGAACGUGAAUAUGUUAGGUCCCGUAUUAAUUAAAAGGUGGGUCGCACUGAAAUUUGGGCUCAAAGUUGACCUAUUUCAUAACCAUUUUUUCCAACAAAUGCAACUCUGCUGCUUCUUUUCCCGAUGGAGGUACUGUAAAAAAUUUCAAUUUCACAUUUUAGAGCCAAUUUGUUGAAUAAUUUAAUAACUUCUAUUCCAGGACAUUUCUAUAAAAUGUGUUUUUCUGUCAUAGAAGUUAGUUUUAUGACUUUUAUCUCUUGAUGAUAAUUGGGCUAAGAAUUUAGUUUAAGUAACUUAUUACCAUGAAGGAAAGAUGUAAAAUUUACAGGAGCGCGAUUAGUUUACUGAUGCAGAAGAAUGUAUAAUGUUACCAAGUGAAAAAGUUAUGCAGAGAAGUUUUGUGUUUUUUAAAGAAAUGUUAGUAAAAUUUACACAUUAAAGGGAAAAAUUUAAGGGACCACAACUUAGAAAUUAUUUGAUUUCGGAGGUUAUUAUUGUAUUUGGGGAUGUAGAUUCUAAAUAUUGCAACCCAGUCUGAGGCAAACUGGAGCAUGAAAUGUAUAUUCUUCUUUUUGGGGUGGUUGCAUGAAUAGCGGAAGAGGUUUAAUGUAUCAUGGCGUAUGUAGAUAAAAUCCUAGACAUUGUUAAAUUUAUCUCCCUAUUAAGUGGUGCCAUAUGUGGAGCAUUAUGUAAAAUCUAUUUAAUUAGACAGUGGUAUAGGUUCUUGUCUUAGGCGUACAUGUUUCAAGGAUAUCUUUCCAUUUCUAACUAAAAGUAGUGAUUUCAUAUUUCAAUACUUUAGAAGGAAAUGAAAGUUCUUCAAAUCUUUUUUAUCCUUUGACUUUUAUUUUUAAGAUGAUUGUUUUGUUAGUGAGUUACAUAGUGGAUUUGUAAUGGAUCUGAGUUUUAUCCAAUUGAGAGCUGGGAUAAGUGUUUUUAGCUGUUAGGAUAGUUGUAAUUCUUUGACUGAAUUAUGCCCUGAAAUUUCAUGUCGGUUGAAAUUUUGAUCCACAUUUUGCAGUGAUAAAUUAAGGAAAAGUUGAUGUCAUACUUACUAUAGUGCAUCUGACAAUCUGAGUGCUUACUCUCAUUUAUGUAUAUAUAUCCACAUCUGAUUUCUUUAUUGAUAUGUAUAAAUCUGGUUCAGCUACAUCAUGAUAUUAUUCUAAUAAUAUUCCACCCGAAAUUAAUUAUCUCAGAUGUAAUUAGCUGCCUCCAUAACUCGGACGUAUUUUGCAAAAAAAGAAGUUGCUUGAAAAGGAGCUUUUAAGCUUUGCCAACAUGCUUGUUAAUCAGCAUCUAACGCCUUAAAUUGCUCUACUGAUCUGUCUGACGGUGUUUGAACACUUCUAUAUCAUAUUUUUUUACUUCUUGGAACUGUCUCUUCGUGGACUCUUAUAAUUGUGUCAUUAUUAUCUUCAGAGAAAAAGAAACAAAAGAUAUCUGAAAUCCAAGCAGCUUUGGAUGAUGCUGAUGUUUUGGUAACGCAAAAGCAUCCCGCCUUUAUCUUGUCAUGAGUUUUCUCUCAGUACUAGCCUAAAAUGAGUUGUAUUUUUUCAUAUUCGAAAAAUGGAUCUUGAGGUUAGAAGUUUGCAGCCAAGCUUGAAGGCUACACUACUUGCUAAGCUCAGGGAAUAUAAAUUCGAUCUGAAUAAGUUGAAAAGGGAAGUAAAAAAAACUAGCUUUGCCAAAUUCAAAUGUUCCUAGCCAUGAGGAGUUGUUAGAAUCUGGAAUGGCUGGUGAAAAUUCGGUAUGCCUGUAUGCAAUUGCCUUGCUAAUUUUUUUGUCCUUAAUAUAUAUAGUAUGUAUAUAUUGCACAGAGAAUCGCACGGGCUUCGACAAUGUAGCAUCAUUUAGCCUCACAGGAGAUAAUUCAACUGUGUCUGUUUGCAAAAUGAGUGAAGACUUCUACUUUACCAUUAAAGAGUCGUGUAAAUAUUAUCCUUGAGCAUUAUUUACUUAAAACAAAAGUUAAUAUUAGGAUUCAGUAUCUUUUAUGGUUUUUGGUUUUCAAUUCCUGGAUCAACUGAAAAAUUAAGCGAUAGAUGUCAAUGUCAUGAUGAGAUCGUAUAGAUUAGCUAGAUUUAACCAAGAUGGAUGUUUUGUUCAAAAUGUCAAUAUACUUAUGUUCUUACUGUCUAUUAUCCGAUUUUAUUAUGCUCUAUCGGUUUUUACCAAAGAGAAGAGUUGAGCAGCGUUUGACUUGGGUAUCCUCCCUAGACAUAUUUUUCAGCUAACUCAGUGUUUAUCUCAUUGUUGCUUACUCUACAUAUGAACCAUCCUCCUCUGCUUAUUUAUUUAUUUUAAUUUUUAUGAUACAUUGUUCAUUUAUUUGCAAUAAUGAGCUUUGGUAGGUAGUUUUGCUUGGAGCAUGUUUGCCUAAUGAUAUGAUCCCGGGUGCACCAUCAAUUUCCAAGAAUUCAUUAAUUGAUUGGAGAAGGUCGAAGUCAAGAACCGAGGCAAGUCGAGACUUUGAAGUAGUUAAUAAAAUUGUUCACUUAUGUAUUCGAGCAACGGAGUCUAAAACCAUGAAGUUCACGUGUCAAGGAGUAAAUUCGAUGAAGGGGCCGAAGUCCAAUUCAAUUGGAAUUAGCUUGAUAAUUGUAGCCGAAGACGGAGCCAAAAUCAAAGGUUGUGCGACCGCACAGCUUCCAACCCUUGCGAUCGCAUAGGAGCAAACAGGGAAUUUUUUGGCAACAUUCGGAACAACCAUGUGAUCGCAUUAAAUUGUGCCAUGCGGUCGCAUAGCACUAAAUGGAGGCGAAAUCUUUCCUUUUCUCACGAAGUACUUUAAUUGGUUGAAUUUCUUAUUUUUGGAAACUCUAAUAUUAUUAGGACUUUAGCACACAUUUUUUUCAUAUUUUAGGAGUUUAUUUUUAUCUUUAAUUAUUUUUCAAUGUUUCUAGUAU
Molecule: long non-coding RNA, 18386 nt
Filed under: Olea europaea subsp. europaea
Lineage: Eukaryota; Viridiplantae; Streptophyta; Magnoliopsida; Lamiales; Oleaceae
Source: RNAcentral